CCUACGGGAGGCAGCAGUGGGGGAUAUUGCACAAUGGGGGAAACCCUGAUGCAGCGACGCCGCGUGUGGGAAGACGGUCCUCUGGAUUGUAAACCACUGUCCCCAGGGACGAAGAUGACGGUACCUGGGGAGGAAGCUCCGGCUAACUACGUGCCAGCAGCCGCGGUAAUACGUAGGGAGCGCGCGUUGUCCGGAAUUACUGGGUGUAAAGGGAGCGUAGGCGGGACUGCAAGUUGGGUGUCAAAUCUACCGGCUCAACCGGUAGCCGCACUCAAAACUGCAGUUCUUGAGUGAAGUAGAGGCAGGCGGAAUUCCUAGUGUAGCGGUGAAAGGCGUAGAUAUUAGGAGGAACACCAGUGGCGAAGGCGGCCUGCUGGGCUUUUACUGACGCUGAGGCUCGAAAGUGUGGGGAGCAAACAGGAUUAGAUACCCUUGUAGUC
RNAcentral lists this ribosomal RNA (440 nucleotides) under uncultured bacterium. RNAcentral's name for it is "partial 16S ribosomal RNA". It matches the Rfam family "Bacterial small subunit ribosomal RNA", at positions 338 to 795 of the family's 1533-position model. The record is from RNAcentral.